UGUUGAGGUAGGUCAGGUUGAUAAGUGAUUGUCCAACUAUAUUAUUCAUCAAAACAUGUAAUUAGAACAUACAAGUAAAAGUUGGAGUUGAAGGAAAUAAAAGAUGCAGCUAUACCGGUUAUCUUCUCUGUUCAAUCCCAACUAACUUUAGUUUCUUCUACUGCUGCAGACUUUGCAAAAGGAAUACAAUGAACAUGUCUCCAUUACCCUUGACACUUCCCUCGUGGAAGAAUGUCGAGAUUAAUUUAAUGAUGACUGCAAAACAUCAUGUGAUCAUUAACAUUGUAACUUUAUUUCAUGGUAAAAUACUAAAAUGUCUAGAAAGAAACAUAAUCAUAAUUCAUAGCAGUCUACAGAGUUUUAAUGCUUAGUGUUAUUUAUGUACCUGUUUCCUUAGUGACUUGCACGGCGCGCAAUUCUGAUGGAUGGGAUUGUGUGCAUGUAUAUCCAUUAGGUAGGGACUAGUAGUGGACUACCCCCAUAUUAGGUUUUGACCAGGUAGCACCAUAGGACUCAAUAGGGACUGUCCACAUUAGGAUUUGACCAGGUAGAAUUCAAGUUCACAUUGUUGUCAAUGGGACUUAAGUCACAUGCAACACUCCCUCGGCUUCAAGAAAUGUCGCUGCUCUUGAUCUCUGCUAAUUUUGUCGUUUCCUUAGCUCCAGAGACUUGUGAAAACAGUUCUGGCGCCACUCUUUCUCAUAAGAAGCUUGACAAAAGUUGACAUGAAUAGAUUCAAUGAUCAAGUCCUUCUCAGCUAUUCAGUUUGCGAAACUUACAAUGCCUUGAGAGUAGUAUUGAACUUGGAUGAAAAUUUUCUCACAGCAGAGAUGCCUGCAGAUAUGGGAAAUCUCAAACAAUUGUGGCGGUUGUCGCUUCAUCAGAACAGAUUCUCCAGUGGGAUCUCAAUGUCUUUUUUGCAUUUAACUGAACUGGAAGUCUUGUAUUUGCAAAACAUAGGAAGUUUGUAAGAAAAAAAUUGACCCUGGCCUUAAGCCGUUAAGCAUGAACCAGUUGACAGGUGAAAUUUCUUCCUCGAUCAAGAGUUUGAGCAAGUUGGUGACACUUCAAUUAGACAAUAACUUGCUUUCAGGUGAGAUUCCAACAUGGUUGCUAGAUAUCAAGGCGUUGAAACUUUUAAAUCCUGGAGGAAAGUAUUGGAACAAUAGUUAACCAGUAGCUCCUUAGUGUCUUAGUGUAUGUUAGUUAUCUCAAUUAUCUUUGAGGUCUUGCUGAGUUGCCACUCCCAUUCCAUUCUGGAUAUCCACCCAAAAGAAUCUUGAUUUCUUAGAUUGAAGCAAGAAGAGCUGGAAGGAGCCUUCCCACCAUGGCUUGCUGAAUCAAAUCUGGGAGAAAAUAAGUUUAUGGGUUCUCUGCCACCGCCUCUAUUUCAGUCUAAAUUUAUCAGUGCUUGCUUUGUCAAGAAACAAUUUUUCCAGUGAGUUACCUAAAAACAGUGGAGAUACACCUUCUCUUAUGAUACUUAAGCUGGCCAACAACUUUUCUGGUCCGAUAUCAAAUUUGAUCUCAAAGAUUUAUGUCACAGAGAUCUCUUCCAACGGAUAUCUGGUCAGCCUCCAGUAAACUUUGCAUUAGGAAAAAUAUACCAGCGUUAGACGACAAUGAGUUCUCAGGUAAGGUCUCUUACCUCCCGAUCUUAGCAAAUUGAGCCAACUUGAGCACCUUGACCUCCAUAAGAACUAUACCACAGGCAAAUUGCCAGAGUUUCUCACCUGAAAAGUCCAGCAUCCAGCCUUCAAAUUGCUAGCCCUCUAAGGCCAGAUUCCAGACGCUCUAUCCAAAUUCAGUAGCCUUCACACUCUUGACUUCUCAAUCAACAGCCUGAAUGGAAAAAUCCCUGCAAACAUUGGAAACAUCGAAAGAAUGAUAAAACCCCCCAUACACUUUAAUGGGUUCUGUAAUUCAGUGACUUGAUUUUAAACAGGAAGAAGUCCCUGCAAGGUCUAUUGGCUGUAACCUUUAAAUAUACUUUUUCUUAGACUUUUCCAGAAACCAAUUGUCAGGAGAAGUUCCAACUUUGAUGGGUGGUCUUACAAGUUUGAAGUUACUCCAUAUCUCUACAAGUAUUCCUGUGAGUUUUGGUGGAUUACAGAGUGUAGAAAGCUUAGACAUGCUCACACAACAAUCUUUCUGGGAAAAUGCCAUGGACACUAGUGAAUCCCCAACAGCUUGGAACUCUGGAUGUAAGCAACAAUAAGCUUGUGGGUCAGACUCCAAUGGGUAGCCAGAUGGACAGGUUUAAUGACCCAAGUUCUUACACUAACAACAGUGGAUUGUGUGUAUGCAAAUACAAAGGCCAUGUCCAAUGACACCUCCACCAGAUAUCUCCACCAAGGUCAGGAGUCAUUAAGCGUGAGGAACUGAGGAUACAUGGUUUUCACGGAUGGGUUAUUUGUCUCAGUGUUGGUAUCUGCAAACUUUUGGGCUAUCUUACUUACACCAAGGAGGCAUCAGCGACGAAGCAUUCGCAAAAUAUAACAUCACCUUACAUGCCCGCCCAGUAAAUCUAUCAUCGUUGUAAACAUAAAACACCAGGGCGUCACAAAGGCAUUGUGCCAAUCCAAGGUGGAUCAGUUAAAAAAGGCCCAUCUUAGGUUCUAAACCAUGAACUAAGACUCCUGGUUCUGUUUUGCCUAUGGAAGAUUAGCAACCAAAGCUAAUAUUAUGCAGAGAUCUCUUUUUUACUAGUCAGAGAACAUGCAAUACUUUCAUAGAUCAACACACCAAAAGAUCUGUAUCAUUGUAAAGCAAUGCAUGGAUCUCUCUGUAACUAGUCAGAGAACAUGCAAUACUUUCAUAGAUCAACACACCAAAAAUCUUAUCAUUAUAAAGCAAUGGGAUCCAUAUAUUCCAAGAAAGAGUUCCAAACCCAACAGUAACAUUGCUAAAGGGGAUUUGGUGAGUUGAUCCACAAGUGUGUUUAUAAUCCUCUUAUUUUGUAAGUAAAAUGCUUAUUAGCAGUAACAAUCAUAAGCAACAACCAUAAGAGUUUAUCUGAAUGUUGUGAAGAUACAUAUAGCAUCAAUAAAAAGCAAAACAUGUGAUAACACAUCACAGCACUAACCCCAGCUAUAGAUAAUAUGCAUAAACUGUCAGGGAAAAACGUUUACCAAAAAAGUAAAACGAAUUUGUAUUAUCACUGUUUCUUAAGGGAGGACUAUGAUUUUGGGUGAGCAGUAAUGAGCACAAUCAUCGGCAGAAAAGAAUCUGGGGAUUCGAGUGACUGUAAAAAAAGUAAAGAUGUGAAAAGUAUCAAAAGCAAAUCAAAAUAUGAAUAGAAAAUGUAAAAAGAUGAGAACCAAUACCAUAAGUAGACUAAUGAAAACAUUCUACAUUUAAAAAAACUCAUUCGUAGUUGAAAAAAUACAUGUAAUAACUUUUUAAAAUAUGAGGUAUUAAGCAAAACAUAACGAAUACAAAAAAAUCAAAAUUAUAUGUAUCAAUAUGUCAAGGCAUCUCUAGCCCCUAAUUUUGAUUGAAUACACAUGUUGAGUACAAGUUUCACUUAAAAAGCAAAACAGAUGUAUUUAUAAAGUUUUCCAAGUGUCCGUUGAAGAUUUUGCAAACAACACCAUCUAUUGGCAGUAAAGAAUCUGGGGAUUUAAGCACCGUAUGAGAUGCCCUUGACGUAUAACAGAUAUAAAAACAUCAACAAGAAGUAAAAAUACGACAAGAAAAUAUAAAAAUAUGAAAACCAAUUCGAUUAAGUAGACUAAAAAGUUUGAAACAAUAACAUCGGUGCAAAGGAGCACCUUCAUAGUAUAAAAUCAAAACAAAGAAAAGUACAAUCCUUAUAUAUAAUAAAAGACGUACAUAAAUAAAUAAAAUUUGCAUCUCCAACCCAUCAUUGAUUGAGUGUGUCCACAUGCUUUCAUGCAAGUUUCACUUCAAAAAUCAAAUGCAUUUUCACAAUGCACUAUAGGGACCAUUGAAGAUUUCAGAUGAAGGGUAGAGGGCACAUUAUUUGGCAGCAUACAAUCUAGGGAUUUCAGCACAAAAAAGGAGAUGCCUAUAUAAAUAUAAAGGUAGCGAAAGAAUAAAAUAAGUCAAGAACCCAAAGAAAUAAAUUAAUACAUUAUAAAUAUUAAAACAUAAACUUUAUACAUACAGCAAAGCACGAUCUUAGGGUCUGUUCGAUUAGAAAUUUUCCAGUAAAUAUACCUUAGGGGGCAGAAAAGACAAGAAGAAAACAGAAAACUCUCUCUCCUUCGUAUUUUCUUCCCAAUUUUCAAUCCUCGGAUAUUUCACCUUUACCCUCCCGAUUUC
This 4287-nucleotide long non-coding RNA is filed under the name Aquilegia coerulea. RNAcentral describes it as "long non-coding RNA (ACOE_LNC000809)". Lineage: Eukaryota; Viridiplantae; Streptophyta; Magnoliopsida; Ranunculales; Ranunculaceae. The record is from RNAcentral.